Molecule: non-coding RNA, 101 nt
Filed under: Sulfobacillus acidophilus
Lineage: Bacteria; Bacillati; Bacillota; Clostridia; Eubacteriales; Clostridiales Family XVII. Incertae Sedis
Also listed under: 1 other name
Description: TPP sequence
Rfam family: TPP riboswitch aptamer (THI element)
About the family: Vitamin B(1) in its active form thiamin pyrophosphate (TPP) is an essential coenzyme that is synthesised by coupling of pyrimidine and thiazole moieties in bacteria. The previously detected thiamin-regulatory element, thi box was extended, resulting in a new, highly conserved RNA secondary structure, the THI element, which is widely distributed in eubacteria and also occurs in some archaea.
Source: RNAcentral
GAUUGGCGCUAGGGGUGCCGAAAGGCUGAGAAACGGAAGACCGUUAACCCUUAGGACUCGAACUGGAUAAUGCCAGCGGGAGAAAGUGCCGGAAUACGUCG